Molecule: ribosomal RNA, 1109 nt
Filed under: Synthemis eustalacta
Lineage: Eukaryota; Metazoa; Arthropoda; Insecta; Odonata; Synthemistidae
Description: partial 16S ribosomal RNA
Source: RNAcentral
UAAAUAAUACUCUUACUAUUAUUUUUUUUGAAUUUUAUUAGAAAUAUCUUUAAAUUUAGUAUAUUAAGGAAAUAUUGUUUAGUGUUAUAGUUUACUUUUACUGUGAAGGAACUGAUGAAAUAAUUGAAAAUUGAAUUUGUUUUAAGUAAUUUUUAUUUAUUGUACCUUUUGUAUCAGGGUUGAUUAAAUAUUAUUAAUUUAUUUUAAUUUCCCGAUUUCAGGAGAGCUAAUUUAUUAUUUUAUUUAUUGUUGCAUAACUAUUAAUAAUAUAAAUUAGGGAAGAAAUUUCAUUCGUUCUUGAUGGUAUCUGGUUUUUUAAGAAAUAAAUUUAAUUCUUUUUCAUUAAUUAAAUUAUUUAUUUAAAUAUAGUUUAUUUAUUGAAUUUAAUAUUAUAGGGGAUAAGCUCUAUAUUUUUCUAURAGUUUAUAUUUAUUUAUUUUGUGUAGGGUUAAAAUUAUCCAUCAUUUAAAAGUAUGUUAUAAUAUAAAUUAAUUAUUAAUUGAUUUUAUUUACUUUAGAUUUUUAUUAAAACGUUGAAUAAAAUUUUAAUAUUCAAGUGAUAAUGAUUAAAUUAGUAUAUUUAUUUUGUUUUGAAUUAAUUUAAUGAGAUGAUAAAUUAAGGAACUCGGCAAAUAUAACACUCGCCUGUUUAACAAAAACAUGGCCUCUUGAUAUAAAUAGGAGGUCAUGACCUGCCCAGUGAUUUAUUCAACGGCCGCGGAAUAUUGACCGUGCAAAGGUAGCAUAAUCAUUAGUCUUUUAAAAGAGGGCUGGAAUGAAAGGUUUGACGAGGUGUURGCUGUCUCAUUUKAUUUGUAUUUUAGAAUUUAASUUUUUAGUUAAAAGGCUUAAAUUUAAUUGGAAGACGAGAAGACCCUAUAGAGCUUUAUAUUAUAUUUUAUAAUAUUUUUAUAUAAUUUUUUAUUAUAAUUGUUAAUAUUUUGUUGGGGUGACAAAAAUAUAUGAUAAACUUUUUUAUUUAUUAAACAUUGAUAUAUGAUAAUUAGAUCCAUUUUUAUUGAUUGAUAGAUUAAGUUACCUUAGGGAUAACAGCGUAAUCCUCCCCCAGAGUUCAUAUUUACGGGUAGGGCUUGCGACCUCGAUGUUGG